This is a long non-coding RNA of Chenopodium quinoa (quinoa), 961 nucleotides long. RefSeq lists it as uncharacterized. NCBI's taxonomy places the organism in Eukaryota, Viridiplantae, Streptophyta, Magnoliopsida, Caryophyllales, Amaranthaceae. The transcript has 2 exons. The record is from RefSeq and is a predicted model, not a curated record.
GGUGGGGGUGGUGGGUUAGGGGGUGGCGGUGGGGUGGGUUGGGGUGGAAAUUCCUACAAAGGGUUUUGCGACAGACUGAUUCCGACGGAAUUGCGUCGGAAGACCAUUUCCCGACGGAAUUUCCGAUGUAUCCGACGGAUUUUUUCCGUCGGAAUCAAGUUGUUUUCUUGUAGUGCCUUCAAAUUUGGAUUGUGAUUCUAGCUCGGAUGAUGAUGAGGCCAUUGAUGAUGGAGAUGAUGAUGAUGAUGAGGUUGAUGAUAGUUUCCUAUACUAGGGGCUGACUUAUCUCAUAAUUUAAACUUCAAAGAUGGCUGACUUAUCUCAAAAUCAAGGGCUCUGAGCCUGCAUGCAUUUUUUGCUGUUUAGUUACAAAAUUUUCAUCUUCUAAGAAGUGUUACAGAUUAAUUCCUGCUGUUUAUAAAAUUGGUAAACACUUAGAUUACAGUGAAUUUCUUAUUUUGGUUAGCAUCAACUCUUAUCAAAGCACGACUGAUGACUUCCACUGUUAGAUUAUUGGGGAUGUUUUUGUAGUUAAUGUGCUGUAAAAUGACUUCCACUGUUAGAUUAUUGUCAGACAUUUUUUUCUUCUUGUUUUUUGGUGGAAAAUUAUGGUUUAAAAUGUUGUUAGAUUUUGAAUAAUUUAGCUUUGUUUUGUUUAGAUAUUGAAUUGAUGAAAGAAAGGAUUGCAAAGUUAUUAGUAAUAGACUAAUAACUUUGCAAACCUUAUUGAUAAUUGAGAGAGGUACAAACUAAGUGACUAAUAACUUAUUAGUCUAUUACACUGAUAUACUUACUAUUCUUGAUAAUUGAGAGAGGUACAAACUAAGUGACUAUAGUUCUUAUGUUCAACCUUGUUGGCUUAUUGAUGCAUUAUUAGCAAUGUCACUCGUUGUAUGUGUUAAUACGUCACACUAUCAGCUAAUGGUGUGUCUGGUUAAGUGUUAUAAAUAUAUUCUCCUUA